UAAGGCAGGUGUUUACCUAUCACUGUAUUUCUACAUUCUAAGUAAGAAAAUCAUCUUAGGAGCUCCAAAAGUUUCUCUAUGAAUGCCAUGCGCUCACUAUAAGCUGAGAAACAAUGAGCACUCAACAUCAGUGUGAGAAUUAUUAGAUUAUAAGUAUUGUCGGAGAUUUAGUAAGUAAUGGCUAAGAUUUCUUAUACCUCCUUCAUCAUCCUUGCUAUCCUUGUCUUCUCAGUUGUAUCGUUGAUGGUGAUGAAAGCAGAUGUGCAGCAAAAGGGGUAGUGCUGCGAAAUAUUGUAUCCCGAUAACUGUGAUCUAAAAGAUUGUCAAGAUAAGUGCGUCCAAAAGU
Molecule: long non-coding RNA, 346 nt
Organism: Macadamia integrifolia
Lineage: Eukaryota; Viridiplantae; Streptophyta; Magnoliopsida; Proteales; Proteaceae
Exons: 2
Source: RefSeq, a predicted model, not a curated record